This 57-nucleotide transfer RNA is filed under the name Contracaecum osculatum. RNAcentral describes it as "tRNA-Asn". Lineage: Eukaryota; Metazoa; Nematoda; Chromadorea; Rhabditida; Anisakidae. The record is from RNAcentral.
UAGAGAUUAGUUUAAUUAUAGAAUACCUGACUGUUAAUUAGGUGGUCCUUUCUCUAG